RNAcentral lists this microRNA (20 nucleotides) under Tribolium castaneum (red flour beetle). RNAcentral's name for it is "tca-miR-3876-3p". The record is from miRBase by way of RNAcentral. Lineage: Eukaryota; Metazoa; Arthropoda; Insecta; Coleoptera; Tenebrionidae.
UAGACCAGUGGUAAAAUGAG